GACGAACGCUGGCGGCGUGCUUAACACAUGCAAGUCGAACGGAAAGGCCCUGCUUUUGUGGGGUGCUCGAGUGGCGAACGGGUGAGUAACACGUGAGUAACCUGCCCUUGUCUUUGGGAUAACUUCAGGAAACUGGGGCUAAUACCGGAUAGGAGCUCCUGCUGCAUGGUGGGGGUUGGAAAGUUUCGGCGGUUGGGGAUGGACUCGCGGCUUAUCCGCUUGUUGGUGGGGUAGUGGCUUACCAAGGCUUUGACGGGUAGCCGGCCUGAGAGGGUGACCGGCCACAUUGGGACUGAGAUACGGCCCAGACGCCUACGGGAGGCAGCAGUGGGGAAUAUUGCACAAUGGGCGGAAGCCUGAUGCAGCAACGCCGCGUGCGGGAUGACGGCCUACGGGUGGUAAACCGCUUUCGCCGGUGACGAAGCGUGAGUGACGGUAAUGGGUAAAGAAGCACCGGCUAACUACGUG
Molecule: ribosomal RNA, 468 nt
Filed under: uncultured bacterium
Lineage: Bacteria
Description: partial 16S ribosomal RNA
Rfam family: Bacterial small subunit ribosomal RNA
Source: RNAcentral